GGGGAUGUAACUCAGUGGUAGAGAAUAUGCUUAGCAUAUAUAAGAUCCUGAGUUUGAUCCCUAGCACCACCA
RNAcentral lists this transfer RNA (72 nucleotides) under Heterocephalus glaber (naked mole-rat). It matches the Rfam family "tRNA". Rfam says of the family: Transfer RNA (tRNA) molecules are approximately 80 nucleotides in length. Lineage: Eukaryota; Metazoa; Chordata; Mammalia; Rodentia; Bathyergidae. The record is from Rfam by way of RNAcentral.